Molecule: ribosomal RNA, 610 nt
Filed under: Pseudomonas sp.
Lineage: Bacteria; Pseudomonadati; Pseudomonadota; Gammaproteobacteria; Pseudomonadales; Pseudomonadaceae
Description: bacterial SSU rRNA
Rfam family: Bacterial small subunit ribosomal RNA
Source: RNAcentral
GCGGCGGACGGGUGAGUAAUGCCUAGGAAUCUGCCUGGUAGUGGGGGAUAACGCUCGGAAACGGACGCUAAUACCGCAUACGUCCUACGGGAGAAAGCAGGGGACCUUCGGGCCUUGCGCUAUCAGAUGAGCCUAGGUCGGAUUACCUAGUUGGUGAGGUAAUGGCUCACCAAGGCGACCAUCCGUAACUGGUCUGAGAGGAUGAUCAGUCACACUGGAACUGAGACACGGUCCAAACUCCUACGGGAGGCAGCAGUGGGGAAUAUUGGACAAUGGGCGAAAGCCUGAUCCAGCCAUGCCGCGUGUGUGAAGAAGGUCUUCGGAUUGUAAAGCACUUUAAGUUGGGAGGAAGGGCAUUUACCUAAUACGUAAGUGUUUUGACGUUACCGACAGGAUAAGCACCGGCUAACUCUGUGCCAGCAGCCGCGGUAAUACAGAGGGUGCAAGCGUUAAUCGGAAUUACUGGGCGUAAAGCGCGCGUAGGUGGUUUGUUAAGUUGGAUGUGAAAUCCCCGGGCUCAACCUGGGAACUGCAUUCAAAACUGACAAGCUAGAGUAUGGUAGAGGGUGGUGGAAUUUCCUGUGUAGCGGUGAAAUGCGUAGAUAUAGGA